Neoarius graeffei (lesser salmon catfish) is the source of this 636-nucleotide long non-coding RNA. RefSeq lists it as uncharacterized. The transcript is spliced from 2 exons. The record is from RefSeq and is a predicted model, not a curated record. Lineage: Eukaryota; Metazoa; Chordata; Actinopteri; Siluriformes; Ariidae.
CACACACGCCCCUCAAGAUUACUCAAGAUUUAUUCAUUUGUUCAUGUCCGAUGAAUAUACAUUGAUUCACAUUUAAAUUUACAAUAUCAAAUCCAGACUAAUCAAAAAAGAAAAGUAGACUAAGUGAGGACGAGUUAGAAAAACGGGUUCAUUUCUCCUAUGUUUAUGUUUACACGUUUUGUUCAGACUGCUUUACACCCCAAUCCAGUGGGUGGCGGUAAUGCCCCAUUAGACCCCUUUCACUGACGUCACCCGAAACCGGAAGUAAACAAACCCUGCGCCACAUUGGAAGACCAACAAACUCGUGAUUAGGGGGAAAUAACGGCAGCGCGCGGUAUGUGAACCCAUGAGGCACUUGGUUCAUCAAAAACCUACAAUGGUAAACUUUUGUGCUGUAUUAGGGUUCUAACAAAGCUGAUGGGAAAGGUGAAAAGAAGUCUUUCUACAGAAUACCAGUUGUGAUUGAGACAACAAGCAAACCAAGGAGCUUUCUGCCGGGAGACAGAGAGAGGAUUUAGCUGCUUUAUGCAGAGUGGAUCUGAAUACUUCAAGUCUAUUUUGUUACUGGUGUCUGCGCCGCAGGAGGGAUAGGCCACAAUUAUAAAUUAUAAAUAAAUCAUAAAAUGUUUCUAAGAA